UACGAAGGGUGCAAGCGUUACUCGGAAUUACUGGGCGUAAAGCGUGCGUAGGCGGUUUGUUAAGUCCGUUGUGAAAGCCCUGGGCUCAACCUGGGAAUUGCAGUGGAUACUGGCGAGCUAGAGUGCGGUAGAGGAUGGUGGAAUUCCCGGUGUAGCGGUGAAAUGCGUAGAGAUCGGGAGGAACACCAGUGGCGAAGGCGACUACCUGGCCUGUUCUUGACGCUGAGGCGCGAAAGCUAGGGGAGCAAACGGG
Molecule: ribosomal RNA, 253 nt
Filed under: uncultured bacterium
Lineage: Bacteria
Description: partial 16S ribosomal RNA
Rfam family: Bacterial small subunit ribosomal RNA
Source: RNAcentral